UGGGGAAUAUUGCACAAUGGGCGCAAGCCUGAUGCAGCGACGCCGCGUGAGGGAUGACGGCCUUCGGGUUGUAAACCUCUUUCAGCAGGGAAGAAGCGCAAGUGACGGUACCUGCAGAAGAAGCGCCGGCUAACUACGUGCCAGCAGCCGCGGUAAUACGUAGGGCGCAAGCGUUGUCCGGAAUUAUUGGGCGUAAAGAGCUCGUAGGCGGUUUGUCGCGUCUGCUGUGAAAACGCGAGGCUCAACCUCGCGCCUGCAGUGGGUACGGGCAGACUUGAGUGCGGUAGGGGAGACUGGAAUUCCUGGUGUAGCGGUGGAAUGCGCAGAUAUCAGGAGGAACACCGGCGGCGAAGGCGGGUCUCUGGGCCGUAACUGACGCUGAGGAGCGAAAGCAUGGGGAGCGAACA
RNAcentral lists this ribosomal RNA (407 nucleotides) under uncultured bacterium. Its description in RNAcentral is "bacterial SSU rRNA". It matches the Rfam family "Bacterial small subunit ribosomal RNA", at positions 355 to 774 of the family's 1533-position model. The record is from RNAcentral.